Molecule: long non-coding RNA, 830 nt
Organism: Xiphophorus hellerii (green swordtail)
Lineage: Eukaryota; Metazoa; Chordata; Actinopteri; Cyprinodontiformes; Poeciliidae
Exons: 3
Source: RefSeq, a predicted model, not a curated record
GUAGCUUCACCAAUUUCGAUUUUUAUUUGUUCAAAAUCGCUGAAUUUUCUUAUUUUCCCAUUCAAAUGCUUGGAAGCGAUGCCGGUGAGGCAGCAGCGAGCGCUGCCUCACCUUGGAUUGCGCAACCCCUGGCUCUGCGCUGGCUGCUAAGCGGAGAGAGCAUGUUGCUGUACGGCGUCAAUAAAAUGGUUUAAACAAAUUUAAUAUGUGAACUUAUUUCCAAUAAUUUAGCUUAUGUAUAUAAUGUACAGUGCUUUUUGUCACCAACUGUGUUUGUGUAACGUGUUUCGUGUAAUGAGCGAUUAUAAACGGCAGAGAACAGGUUCGAGGUGAGGCAGGCAGUUCUCUUGCCUCAUGGCAGGGGGCGCUCAAGAUCCCAGACGUUCGUCUUGUUCACUCCUCAACUGCCGAGUAAGUGACAGCGAGCUAGGCUAAACGAUUCGGGAAGCAAGUCAAGUGCAGCGAUAGAUUAUAAUAGAGAUAGUGAUUUUUUUCCUCUCGCUUAUCCCGACUUUCGACAUGGAUGACUACAUUACAACACUAAAAAGGUUUUCUCAAGUGGACUUUCAAUCGAAGCAGGUAAGACAGUAAUGUUAUUACUGUCUUACAGGGGUAAGACAGUAAUAACAUUUAUUUUGUUUUGUUUUUUAAGGAAAUGUGUGUUUUGUGAGCUACAGUUUGUAUGUAUAAGGAUGCAGAAGUGAAACAUAACCUGUAAACUGCUGUCAAUCUAUGCAUCUAUUUGCAAAUCUGAUUCUGAUGACGUCAGUGCCUCACCAGCUAUGAACCUCACCGCACGUCACUGGAUAGGAGGUCUUAUUGCUGCUGUC